This 493-nucleotide ribosomal RNA is filed under the name uncultured bacterium. RNAcentral's name for it is "partial 16S ribosomal RNA". It matches the Rfam family "Bacterial small subunit ribosomal RNA", at positions 30 to 507 of the family's 1533-position model. The record is from RNAcentral.
UUGAACGCUGGCGGCAUGCUUUACACAUGCAAGUCGAACGGCAGCGGGGAGGAGCUUGCUUCUCUGCCGGCGAGUGGCGAACGGGUGAGUAAUACAUCGGAACGUGUCGAGAAGAGGGGGAUAACCACCCGAAAGGGUGGCUAAUACCGCAUAAAUUCUGAGGAAGAAAGCUGGGGACCUAGGAAUAGGCCUAGCGCUUUUUGAGCGGCCGAUGUCGGAUUAGCUAGUUGGUGAGGUAAAGGCUCACCAAGGCGGAGAUCUGUAGCGGGUCUGAGAGGAUGAUCCGCCACACUGGGACUGAGACACGGCCCAGACUCCUACGGGAGGCAGCAGUGGGGAAUUUUGGACAAUGGGGGCAACCCUGAUCCAGCCAUGCCGCGUGUAUGAAGAAGGCCUUAGGGUUGUAAAGUACUUUUGUUAGGGAAGAAAAGUCAGCUGUGAAUAAUGGCUGAUACUGACGGUACCUAAAGAAUAAGCACCGGCUAACUACGUG